CCUACGGGUGGCAGCAGUGAGGAAUAUUGGUCAAUGGACGGAAGUCUGAACCAGCCAUGCCGCGUGCAGGACGACGGCUCUCUGAGUUGUAACCUGCUUUUGUACAAGAGUAAAACUGAAUACGUGUAUUCAUCUGCAAGUACUGUACGCAUAAGGAUCGGCUAACGCCGUGCCAGCAGCCGCGGUAAUACGGAGGCACCAAGCGUUAUCCGGAUUUAUUGGGUUUAACGGUUGCGUAGGCGGAUUGAUAAGUUAGAGGUGAAAUGUCCGAGCUUAACUCUGGAACUGCCUCUAAUACUGUUGAUCUAGAGAGUAGGUGCGGUAGGCGGAAUGUAUGGUGUAGCGGUGAAAUGCUUAGAGAUCAUACAGAACACCGAUUGCGAAGGCAGCUUACCAAUCUAUAUCUGACGUUGAGGCACGAAAGCGUGGGGAGCAAACAGGAUUAGAUACCCUUGUAGUC
Molecule: ribosomal RNA, 460 nt
Filed under: uncultured bacterium
Lineage: Bacteria
Description: partial 16S ribosomal RNA
Rfam family: Bacterial small subunit ribosomal RNA
Source: RNAcentral